RNAcentral lists this long non-coding RNA (1928 nucleotides) under Citrus x clementina. RNAcentral describes it as "Citrus clementina (C. clementina) long non-coding RNA (CCLE_LNC000803)". Lineage: Eukaryota; Viridiplantae; Streptophyta; Magnoliopsida; Sapindales; Rutaceae. The record is from RNAcentral.
CCCGAAAAAAAAAAAUCUAAUAUUUUAAACUUUGAAAUUAGAAAUUGUAAUGCCAUCGAAUCAAUUUUUUUUCCCCAAAAGAAACCCUAACAGUUCGUGAGCUGCCGUCGUCACUAACAGCCGGUCAGCCACCACCGUUCGUCGUCACCGACCAACACUCAGCUGCACCUGUUGGUUCUCCUGCAGCAAGGUUUUUGCCUUUUCUACUUUUCUUUCUUUGUUUAUUUAUUUCGAAUUGCAUCUGGUUUCAUUGAUUUGGGUGUCUGUGUGCAUGUGUUUGUUUGUCAGUAAUGAGUCAUUGAGUUGAUGGAGAUGGCUAUUUACAAUGUUUGCUGAAAUGCGCUCCAGCUUCAAAGUUGAUGGAGUCGAAAGAGGCUCUUUGACUUUGCAGCUAUUUGUCAGCUUCGAAAGGUUUACAUUUAGUCCAUUGUCUCUUUAACAAUCAGUGGAAUUCAUAUGCAGUAGAUGCCCUUGCUCUAGGAUUAUCUUUGUUCGGUAUCUCUGGAAUGGUAAUUGCCAAUUUUAGAAUUCUUAAUGAGUUGAUAGGGCCGGUAUUGUUCAUCAUAUCUAGCAUUACAUUGCACAUCUGGGUCUCAUAAAUAAAGCCAAAACGUAAUGCCACACAAUGAAUCUGCUUUCCAAUCCACAAAUCGGAAUUCUCAGAACAAGCAGCAAGAGCACUAGUGAGUGCAACCACAUUUGGCCUCAUUGUACUCAUAAUAGAAAAAGCUUCUUUAUACUUCUUAUUCUGAACACACCCAGAAAUUAAAGAAUUUUUCAUAACGGGAUCAACUCUACCAUUGAAACCAUUAAAAACAUUCAUGGCCUCACUAAUGCACCCUACAGCUGAGUAAAAAUCAAUAAGGGCAGUACUCAAAAAUACCAAAUCACGUCCCAAAACAACAACCAAACCAUGUACUUGCUUGCCUAGUCGAAAUGCCUUCAACAGGGCACAAGCUUUAAGUACAGAAGAUAAGGGGGCGAAGGAGGAUGAAGAGAGUAAAUUCAUAUGCAUUGUAGGGUUAGGUGUCUAGCGAAGUAGUCUUUUUUUUUUUUUUUUUGGCAUUGCAUGGGCCAAGAAUUAAUUGAUAGAAGAAAUUGUUGUCCUGUAAGUAAUUCAUGAAUUAAUUGAAUUGUGAAGGACAUGAACGUGGGAAGCAAUAAGAGAGCAACAUAUCACGUUUAAUGGAAACCACAUGCUAUGUCUCAUCUUCCUUACUAAAUGGAAAUGAAAUUGACACCCAAAAUGAAACUUCAUAGGUGAAUAAUCAAAGUCUUUAACUUAUAAAAUAAGAUACAGUAAUAUUUAUAAAUUAAAAUAUCAUAUUUAAAUCCAGUACAUGGUAAAAUCAGAUUUAAUGUUUUGUAUCUGCAUAGUUUUUAAUUGUUUGCUUCUAGUAAAAUGCUAGUUUUAUUUUUAUUUUUAGUUUGUGCCAAGAUUCUUGAUGAGGAGCCAGAGAUUGAAACAGAUGUAGAGGCUGUAGAGGUAUAUAGUUUUAGUUUAUAUUAUCUUGUCAAGAAUUUAUUAAGUUGAAUUGUUAAAACAUGUUUUUAUUAAUUUUUUUUUUGUUUAUGUUGUUAUAGGUUUAUGAAGAAUCUUAGAAUGUGCAUCAAUGGUGAUGGCUACAAGUUUAUGUUGAAGACUUAAAAUUAUUUUGAUUUGUCGUAUAAAAUUUAAUCAUUUGUAAUUAUGUUGAAGGCUUAAAAUUAUUAUGUUUUUAUUUAUGUGGAGGUUGUUAAAAUUUGAUCACUUGUAAUUUUAUUUCUAAUAUGAAAUUUGAUUAUUUGUAAUUUUAUUUCUAAAUAUGGAGGUUGUUAGAAUUAUUAUUAUUUAAGAAAAAAGGAAAAUUGAAAUAUUUAGAAAUUAUUAUUUAAAAAAUGGGGAUCGGGUCCCCGUUUUAAUCCCCGCUCAAUUCGGGGAUUUUCGG